RNAcentral lists this ribosomal RNA (395 nucleotides) under uncultured bacterium. Its description in RNAcentral is "bacterial SSU rRNA". It matches the Rfam family "Bacterial small subunit ribosomal RNA", at positions 505 to 898 of the family's 1533-position model. The record is from RNAcentral.
GUGCCAGCAGCCGCGGUAAGACGAACCGUCCAAACGUUAUUCGGAAUCACUGGGCUUAAAGGGUGCGUAGGCGGCCCGGGAAGUUGGGUGUGAAAGCCCUCGGCUCAACCGAGGAACGGCGCCCAAAACUGCCGGGCUUGAGGAAGAUAGAGGUGAGCGGAACUUAGGGUGGAGCGGUGAAAUGCGUUGAUAUCCUAAGGAACACCAGUAGCGAAAGCGGCUCACUGGGUCUUUUCUGACGCUGAGGCACGAAAGCUAGGGGAGCGAACGGGAUUAGAUACCCCGGUAGUCCUAGCCUUAAACCAUGAGCACUGGUUUGGAGGGUCCUCCAUAGCCCUCCAGACGUAGCGAAAGUGUUAAGUGCUCCGCCUGGGGAGUAUGGUCGCAAGGCUGAA